This 140-nucleotide ribosomal RNA is filed under the name uncultured bacterium. Its description in RNAcentral is "partial 16S ribosomal RNA". It matches the Rfam family "Bacterial small subunit ribosomal RNA", at positions 355 to 509 of the family's 1533-position model. The record is from RNAcentral.
UGGGGAAUAUUGCACAAUGGGGGAAACCCUGAUACAGCGACGCCGCGUGAGCGAAGAAGUAUUUCGGUAUGUAAAGCUCUAUCAGCAGGGAAGAAAAAAAUGACGGUACCUGAGUAAGAAGCACCGGCUAAAUACGUGCC